AUGCUUGUGAUUAGCACAUCAUGGGUUUAUAAUACAGGUAAUGGUAGUAAACCAAAGAUCAGAAUAGGCGUGCCGGACGUGGCUUCGACGCCACCACCUCCACCAAGAGCAUCCUGGAUAAGGAGUCUCAUGCCGCUGCCACUGCGGUGUUAGGAUAGAUAAGCCCACGGUUAACAAAAACGGGCAGAUGGAUGUUCUUGAUGGGGGUGAUUUGGGAUCGACGGGCGCAAUAAAGGGUUCGAGGCUACUCGGUGAGACACGCCGUUAAUGUUCAACAAGCAAUAGUUGCAAACGACAACGAAGCUUUGGCUGUUGCUGCCUAACGGCAGUUGGCCUGAAUAAAACUCCUAGCGGUUAAGUCCCUCUAGGCGGGGCUCGAGGGCGCCUGGCAACAGAAGCCCUCACU
This 406-nucleotide transfer-messenger RNA is filed under the name Alphaproteobacteria bacterium. It matches the Rfam family "Alphaproteobacteria transfer-messenger RNA". From Rfam's summary of the family: Bacterial tmRNA, also known as 10Sa RNA or SsrA, is named for its dual tRNA and mRNA-like properties. Its role is to liberate the mRNA from a stalled ribosome. Lineage: Bacteria; Pseudomonadati; Pseudomonadota; Alphaproteobacteria. The record is from RNAcentral.